This 220-nucleotide non-coding RNA is filed under the name bovine gut metagenome. The record is from RNAcentral.
AAAUCCUGUUCGUGUAAGGUAUUAACCAUACCAACGAUAGCGAGUCUUGGAUUGUAAUUGGUAACAAUUACGAUUAAGCGUAGACAGUUAGGCGAUAGGGUCAUAAGGCAAAUACAGCCCCGAAAUCUUACCAAACUACUGUGCCGACAGCUUAUUCAUACUGGAAGGCAAUACAAAGUUAUGCGUUACGGUGAAUAUGACUUUGGCAGUACGGGGUCUC